Molecule: ribosomal RNA, 159 nt
Filed under: Pichia fermentans
Lineage: Eukaryota; Fungi; Ascomycota; Pichiomycetes; Pichiales; Pichiaceae
Description: 5.8S ribosomal RNA
Rfam family: 5.8S ribosomal RNA
About the family: 5.8S ribosomal RNA (5.8S rRNA) is a component of the large subunit of the eukaryotic ribosome. It is transcribed by RNA polymerase I as part of the 45S precursor that also contains 18S and 28S rRNA.
Source: RNAcentral
AAAACUUUCAACAACGGAUCUCUUGGUUCUCGCAUCGAUGAAGAGCGCAGCGAAAUGCGAUACCUAGUGUGAAUUGCAGCCAUCGUGAAUCAUCGAGUUCUUGAACGCACAUUGCGCCCGCUGGUAUUCCGGCGGGCAUGCCUGUCUGAGCGUCGUUUC